This 301-nucleotide ribosomal RNA is filed under the name uncultured bacterium. Its description in RNAcentral is "partial 16S ribosomal RNA". It matches the Rfam family "Bacterial small subunit ribosomal RNA", at positions 509 to 807 of the family's 1533-position model. The record is from RNAcentral.
CAGUCGCCGCGGGAAUACGAAGGGGGCUAGCGUUGCUCGGAAUUACUGGGCGUAAAGGGAGCGUAGGCGGAUCGUUAAGUUGGGGGUGAAAGCCCGGGGCUCAACCUCGGAAUUGCCUUCAAUACUGGCGAUCUUGAGUAUGGAAGAGGUAUGUGGAACUCCGAGUGUAGAGGUGAAAUUCGUAGAUAUUCGGAAGAACACCAGUGGCGAAGGCGACAUACUGGUCCAUUACUGACGCUGAGGCUCGAAAGCGUGGGGGGCAAACAGGAUUAGAUACCCCAGUAGUCCCUGUCUCUUAUAC